AGAGUUUGAUCAUGGCUCAGAACGAACGCUGGCGGCGUGGAUAAGACAUGCAAGUCGAGCGGGAUUUCUUUUGGUAGCAAUACCGAGAGAAAUUCAGCGGCGAACGGGUGCGUAACACGUGGGCAAUCUGCCUUAAAGUGGGGGAUAGCUCGGCGAAAGCCGAAUUAAUACCGCAUGUGAUCAGGGGAGACAUCUUCCCGAAAUCAAAGGUGCCGCAAGGUACCGCUUUUUGUGGAGCCCGCGGCCUAUCAGCUAGUUGGUGAGGUACGGCCCACCAAGGCUUUGACGGGUAGCUGGUCUGAGAGGACGACCAGCCACACUGGGACUGAGACACGGCCCAGACACCUACGGGUGGCAGCAGUCGAGAAUUUUUCUCAAUGGGGGAAACCCUGAAGGAGCGACGCCGCGUGGAGGAUGAAGGUCUUCGGGUUGUAAACUCCUGUCAUUUGGGAACAAGUCGUACGUAGUUACUAUACGUGCGUUGAUAGUACCAGAAGAGGAAGAGACGGCUAACUCUGUGCCAGCAGCCGCGGUAAUACAGAGGUCUCAAGCGUUGUUCGGAUUCAUUGGGCGUAAAGGGUGUGUAGGUGGCGCCGUAAGUCGGGUGUGAAAUUUCGGAGCUUAACUCCGAAACUGCAUUCGAUACUGCGGUGCUUGAGGACUGGAGAGGAGACUGGAAUUUACGGUGUAGCAGUGAAAUGCGUAGAUAUCGUAAGGAAGACCAGUGGCGAAGGCGGGUCUCUGGACAGUUCCUGACACUGAGACACGAAGGCCAGGGGAGCAAACGGGAUUAGAUACCCUAGUAGUCC
RNAcentral lists this ribosomal RNA (809 nucleotides) under uncultured bacterium. RNAcentral's name for it is "bacterial SSU rRNA". It matches the Rfam family "Bacterial small subunit ribosomal RNA", at positions 8 to 796 of the family's 1533-position model. The record is from RNAcentral.